Molecule: non-coding RNA, 407 nt
Organism: Marmota flaviventris (yellow-bellied marmot)
Lineage: Eukaryota; Metazoa; Chordata; Mammalia; Rodentia; Sciuridae
Source: RefSeq, a predicted model, not a curated record
CACAUUCUUUGGACUGAAUUUCUUCUACAGUGGAACCAAGAAGAGGGUUAAUUAAUACAUUCAAUUCUAAAAUAAACCAUGGCCAAUGGGUUGGUGUUGUUCAGAGAUGUGAGACGUCUCUCAAGAAGAAUGGGAAUGCCUGAAUCCUGCACAGAGGAAUUUGUACAAAGAUGUGAUGUUGGAGUACUGGAGCAACUUGGUUUCACUUGGACUUUCUGUUUCUAAGCCAGCUGUGAUUGCCUCAUUAGAGCAAGGGAAGGAACCCUGGAUGGUUGUGAGGGAAGGGACAGGAAGAAAAUAUUCAGGUGAGUAAGCCAUUAUCAGGAAGCUAUUGCAGAAUGUUGGAAACUGGUCAGAAUAUUGAGUUUGCAAGGUUAUUAACAAAAAUAAGUAAGCGGGGCUGGGAA